UACGUAGGGGGCAAGCGUUGUCCGGAUUCAUUGGGCGUAAAGAGCGUGUAGGCGGCCAGGCAGGUCGGUUGUGAAAACUGGAGGCUCAACCUUCAGAGGUCGACCGAAACCAUCUGGCUAGAGUCCGGGAGAGGAGAGUGGAAUUCCUGGUGUAGCGGUGAAAUGCGUAGAGAUCCGGAAGAACACCAAAGGCGAAGGCAGUGUCCUGGCUGGCUCCUGACGCUCAGGUGCGAAGGUCAGGGGAGCAAACGGG
Molecule: ribosomal RNA, 253 nt
Filed under: uncultured bacterium
Lineage: Bacteria
Description: partial 16S ribosomal RNA
Rfam family: Bacterial small subunit ribosomal RNA
Source: RNAcentral